Molecule: RNA transcript, 1797 nt
Organism: Xenopus tropicalis (tropical clawed frog)
Lineage: Eukaryota; Metazoa; Chordata; Amphibia; Anura; Pipidae
Gene name: glyoxalase domain-containing protein 5-like
Exons: 6
Source: RefSeq, a predicted model, not a curated record
AAUGACAUGCCCUAAGCAUUCCAUGACAGCCACAUUAAGAGACCUCUAGCAUUUCAUUACAGACUCAGUGCAGCAAUACCAUUUCGGCAAUAGUUUAUAUUAGUGCUGUGUGACUUGCAGCCUCCUGCUGUAGCUAAACUGCAAAUACCAACAUCAACAGAUACUGAGAGUUGUAGUUCAGCAUCAGACUCUGCAGCUUUUAUAUGAAGGAAGGCUGAGCUUGGCCUAAAUGCUAUAAAUAAACUGGGUAGAGAGGUAAGGGAAAUGAGAUGGAAACUGACAGAGAGAUAGAUCGGCAGUCAGAGAGAAAGAAAUUGGAAGCAGCAUCAGUGAAACUUUCCAAUGAAUAACAUGCACCUUGGUUGUAGGGGGGAGGGAGCCGGGGAAGGGCAGAGGCAGCAGCAAUAAAUCCAGCAGGGUCAGUUUAGUAUCUCAGCGGCUCCUUUCACUCUAAAUUCAGGGCUCUGUUCCGCUCGCUCCAUUCUUUCUCUUUUCCCGGAGCAGUUAUGGCGUCAGAGUCUCAUCUCGGGAGACGGUAACAAAAGCCCCCACAGGGGCAGAAACUGAAGGCAUCACUGCGAAUUGCGGGACAUUCAAACAACAAUCCGGGACAGCGGGUUGUGCUGUACAAAGCGGGACAGUUGGGGGGUAUGGUCACUAGUAAAAGGCAAAAUGGUUUCCCACUCAGUGGGAUAAGAGAGCAGUCAGUACAGCAGCCUGUGGGCAUUACAUGUGCCCCUGACUAUUUACAGGACCUGGGAACAUUACCUUGUACCAAAAACACAGUAGCAGAGUGAAGGCACUAAAAGAGUAAACGAGCAGUUACCAGAAGUUGGCAAAGCCCCCCCCUCCCUGAGGCACCGCCCCACCCUCCCUGAGGCACCGCCCCCUUCUCACCAGGAAGUGCAGCAAGGAAAUCACCUGUGUCUCAUUCAGUCCGGAACCUGAAGCUCCCAAUGCAGAUAUGUUGCCCCCUCUGCCGCCUGCUUGCCCGUCGUGCCCAGGUACUGAGUGCCCACUCACACAUACAGCCCAGGUCCCCUCCCAGCUGGUUCGCUAUCUUUCCGACUCUCAGCCUCCCUUCUGCAUCCAACGCCUGGACCCCCUGGUGCUGACUGUGCGCAACCUGGACAAAACCAUCAACUUCUACACUAAGGUGCUGGGCAGGGAAGCCACAACCUUCAAGGUGCUGAUCCCAUUACUCAAACUUCCCAGUGUGAGAAGAGAGGGAGGCAGGAAGGCUCUGAGCUUUGGGAUGCAAAAGAUUAAUCUGCAUGAGGCUGGGAAAGAAUUUGAACCGAAAGCGGCUGUCCCCUCCCCGGGAUCAGCUGACCCGUGUCUCAUCACCGAGACGCCACUCAGCACUGUGGUGCAACACCUAAGGGCCUGCGGUGUGCCUGUAGAAGAAGGGCCGGUGAGUCGGCCAGGCGCUGUUGGAGAAAUCAUAUCGGUUUAUAUGCGGGACCCUGAGCAGAAUCUGAUAGAGUGACGGGAGAAUUUCUGAACUGCGAGGGAUCCGGGCUGUACCUGCUGCAGAGCUGCUGUGAGUUCUAACAGUGUCCGUGGCGCAGUAUAUAUAGGGCUCAUUAGUUCUCAUGUACUGAGUGUGAUGCUGCAGAUCAGUUUGUGGUGAAAACACAGAGACCUUCCUGUAUGUAAUUAUCAUUGGAAGGGCCCCUUCAUUUUGUGAUAGGCUAUUGGCUUUCACAGGUAACCAUAGCUGUGUGCCAAACGCAGAGGCAUCUUUUCCAGACAACUUUAUCCUCCAUCUCACUGCUUUGGAAGAUAUCCAGCCUG